Long non-coding RNA from Anguilla rostrata (American eel), 1785 nucleotides. RefSeq lists it as uncharacterized. Lineage: Eukaryota; Metazoa; Chordata; Actinopteri; Anguilliformes; Anguillidae. The transcript is spliced from 3 exons. The record is from RefSeq and is a predicted model, not a curated record.
CUCUGCUCUAGGCCAUGCUUGCUGCUCAGAAUUCUUCUUUUUUUAAUUCUCUUACUAUUGAAAAGCAAUUGUCUAUGGAGAGAAUACCACAACUUGCUUUUUUAUUACAACCCCUUUUGAGAGUAAUGAUAUCAUCCGCUGAUUUACAGUGCGUUCAAUGGCACCGCAUUUCUUUCCAUUCCCCUGCAGCCAUUCAGCUGGACAGAUGACACUUCAGUUUUAAUGUCCCAGCUGUCUCUGCAGGCAUGACGAAAACAGGAGAAAUCGCCUCACAUGAGAAUCGACCAGUGGUUCUAAAACAUUUCAUUGCUUAGCGUAGCUCAGACAAGCCUUAAGAGACGGAUGCAGAAUUUAGUGAGUAUAUUCAGAAUAACUUUAACUAAAUAAGAGCACAGCCACGUAUGUAAAUGAUAUUGACGAUCAGCAGGGCUGCUGUGCACCGCUGCCUGUACAUCCUCAUCCUGACCUUAACACUAAGUGUGUGCUGCUCAUCAACUCCCUUCUCUUAAGUACUGAGGCGUACGUGUAUUUGUUUUGCUAUGGAUAGUGUUCCACUUAUUUUAAGAAGUACCUUAUUCAUGUAUGGCUAGAGUUAUCUCAUUUUGUGGUACUGUGGGUGCUCUUAAAGAGAGCAACAACUGAAGUGGUAAGAUUAGUAGUAAGAUAAUAUUGUCUAACCGAAAAAACUAUCUUGAGAUGUUUGUGUCAACAGCCUUGUAGACAUAUUUACAAAGAAUGAAGCAUCAUCACUCAAAGAACCACUAUGGAAAUGGAUGUUCGUGGAAUUCAAGAUUGAACUUUCAUGUGCAGCCAAUCAGGGUGUCGGAUGUUUGUCUCCCGCUGUUUCUAUGUCCAGGAUUAUUGUGUGGUGCAGGUACUCCAGGUCCAAGUUUGCAGUGCACUUACCAAUAGCCACCAGUGUCUGAUAUUCAUCCAUCAUCACAAAAAUAUAAUUUCAAAUGUCUCCUGAACAAGAAUUCAGUGGGAUAAUUUAGUGUUAGCAUCCCCAUAGCCCCCAUUGUAGUCUAUGGGGUGCUGUUUAAUAAAAAAAAUAACCCAUUGAGUGUUGCUUGGCAUAUAUAUUGGUUUGAUGUGUGUAUGUAUUGGUUUGGCAUUGACACAUCUAUUGGUUUUUCAUUUACAUCUAUAUUGGUUUGUCACUGAUGCAUGUAAAUUUUGACUUUAGACUUUAUUGUCCCCAAGGGGAAAUUCCUUUCCACAGCACUGUACCCAUUUUAGAUAGCGAUACAACCAAUAUAACCAUGAAUGUAGAAUAAAUUGUUUAAUGUUAAUUUCUGAUUUGAAAUGCAAUAAGCUCACACUGAAUAAGUUAUUCGUUCAAAAACAGGUUCAUGCUGCAUUUUGUUUGAAAUGCAAGUGUCAUCGAUUUACUAACACAAUUGCUAAUUCAAGAAAGGCAUUUUCUAUCCAGAAUUCAGACUGUUGGUCAUACAUGAGUGACAAUUAAAUGGGAGGUAGUAUGGUGUGUCAAUUGUGGAAUCAUGCAGAAGUUGUGCACAAAAAAAUGGGCUCUUGUAUCCAUGAUUGGACAAUGGUUUCAGAAUGCAUAAUUUUUAUAUACAAUGUAAUAUACCUAUUUUGAAAUAUUUAUUGCAUAAAUGCCAUUCAUUAAGUUGUGUCCCCACCAUUAAGUUUGUUCUCUCACCCUGGCCAUUUAUUUGUGGUUGGUAAGCCCAUGAAAUAAAUUGCUUCAAUCAGCUAUAAGGUAUUACUUUCUAAGUAAUGUGAUGUGAAGCACUUUACAUUCAAAAUAUGCAUUUGUAC